RNAcentral lists this ribosomal RNA (620 nucleotides) under uncultured bacterium. RNAcentral describes it as "bacterial SSU rRNA". It matches the Rfam family "Bacterial small subunit ribosomal RNA", at positions 439 to 1075 of the family's 1533-position model. The record is from RNAcentral.
GCAGGGAAGAUAAUGACGGUACCUGCAGAAGCAGCUGCGGCUAACUACGUGCCAGCAGCCGCGGUAAUACGUAGGCAGCAAGCGUUGUUCGGAGUUACUGGGCGUAAAGGGUGUGUAGGCGGUUGUUUAAGUUUGGUGUGAAAUCUCCCGGCUCAACUGGGAGGGUGCGCCGAAUACUGAAUGACUAGAGUGCGGGAGAGGUGAGUGGAAUUCCUGGUGUAGCGGUGAAAUGCGUAGAUAUCAGGAGGAACACCGGUGGUGUAGACGGCUCACUGGACCGUAACUGACGCUGAGACACGAAAGCGUGGGUAGCAAACAGGAUUAGAUACCCUGGUAGUCCACGCCCUAAACGAUGCAUAUUUGGUGUGGGCAGUUCAUUCUGUCCGUGCCGGAGCUAACGCGUUAAAUAUGCCGCCUGGGGAGUACAGUCGCAAGGCUGAAACUCAAAGGAAUUGACGGGGGCCCGCACAAGCGGUGGAGCAUGUGGUUCAAUUCGACGCAACGCGAAGAACCUUACCUGGGCUCGAACGGCUGGUCAACGGCGGUGGAAACAUCGCUACCCCGCAAGGGGGUCCAGUCGAGGUGCUGCAUGGCUGUCGUCAGCUCGUGUCGUGAGAUGU